UAGGAAUGCAAUAUUGUGAAUUACUUAUGCUUUUAGAUAUCCAUAGCUUUAGAUGCUUAUCUUUUACAUUAUUGUUAUUGAAAGAGUAAUUUUACAAUGUGAUUUCCUCAUUCGAACAUGUUUUUUUUGUUGUUGUUGUUUUUUUAUAGUGUAAAGCACAUAGACUGACCCAGGCUCUGUUUGUGUGGCAGAUGAAGACAUUUCAGGCCAGCUGCAUGGAGGCCCAAAUUUGUAAGAUCAUGUGGAAGUUUUGGAAAGACUUGAGAAUGCAACAGAAACUGUCACACAUCGCUCAUUAAACACUCAAUUAGAUCUGUGCUGCAACACAACACCUGUAAACUGUUGCCAUGGAUACAGGGCCACCAAGUGUCUGUCAGGUGUCACGGACAGCAACCAGGUGUGACCUCUCGGCAAGCAUCUGACUAUGGAGGGUUCCACACGAGCAGCCUCAGCCAGAGCAAACAACAUCUGACAGGAACAGGCAGAGGAAGUAGGCCAGAGGUGAUGACGUCUGUGAAGAUAAACUAUGCUCUUCAGGAUGGAUAUGGUUAUGGUUCUUUUAAUGGUUAAUGGUUCUUCUUUUAUACUACUUCUUAUUGCCAGAGACAUUGUAAAAAGGACCUGAAAUGACAGGAAGUAGUGGUGUAAAGGGGACAAGUUGUGAGCCAGGUUUGAACUGGCAUUUGCCAUAUGAGCACAACAGUUUUUUGAGCAUACUGUAUAUUGAUUAUGUUUUGCAUAACUACUGUACAUGUUGUACAUAGUAUUAAAGGAGUAGUUCACCCAAAAAUGAAGAUGUGCUGAAAAUGUACUCGCCCUCAGGCCAUCCAAGAUGUAGAUGAGAUUGUUUCUUCAUUGGAACAAAUUUGGAGAAAUUUUGCACUACAUAACUUGUUCACUAAUUGAUUCUCUGGAGUAAAUGGAUCCUGUCAGAAUGAGAGUCCAAACAGCUGAUAAAACAAUAAUCCACACCACCACAGUCCAUCAAUAAACGUCUUGUGAAGUGAAAAACUUAAUGUUUU
Molecule: long non-coding RNA, 1022 nt
Organism: Cyprinus carpio (common carp)
Lineage: Eukaryota; Metazoa; Chordata; Actinopteri; Cypriniformes; Cyprinidae
Source: Ensembl